Molecule: small nucleolar RNA, 106 nt
Organism: Abrus precatorius (Indian licorice)
Lineage: Eukaryota; Viridiplantae; Streptophyta; Magnoliopsida; Fabales; Fabaceae
Source: RefSeq, a predicted model, not a curated record
AAACCGUGAUGUGGACAUCUCCUCUAGAGUUCUCCAAAGCGCUUCCACAUCUCAAAUAGAGAUUCAGACUCAUUUUGUUAAAAAUUAGAAAUAUUUGGCCAAGAAU